GCCCAGGUGCUGAAAUUGGUAGACAGGCAUGGUUGAGGGCCAUGUGUCCGUUAGGGCGUGCGGGUUCGAGUCCCGCCCUGGGCA
RNAcentral lists this transfer RNA (84 nucleotides) under Bacteroidota bacterium. RNAcentral's name for it is "Bacteroidetes bacterium tRNA-Leu". It matches the Rfam family "tRNA". From Rfam's summary of the family: Transfer RNA (tRNA) molecules are approximately 80 nucleotides in length. Their secondary structure includes four short double-helical elements and three loops (D, anti-codon, and T loops). Lineage: Bacteria; Pseudomonadati; Bacteroidota. The record is from RNAcentral. RNAcentral also lists the same sequence under 2 other names.